Molecule: long non-coding RNA, 1991 nt
Filed under: Homo sapiens (human)
Lineage: Eukaryota; Metazoa; Chordata; Mammalia; Primates; Hominidae
Description: non-protein coding lnc-IGFBP4-5:1
Source: RNAcentral
GCGCUCCCGCCCUCCCGGGACAGCUGAGGACACAGAGCCGGAACCACGGCUUUUUCCACACAGGCUCCAAGUGGACUGGGUUUGUUGGGACAGGAUCUGGGCGCUCCCUGCAGGGUUUUCUGGCUGUGUCCUGCAGAGGAGGCUGGGGCUGCUGACUUUGCAGAGCUCAAGGAGGGCUGGGUGUCCCCUCGCAACCAGGACCCAGUAUACCUGCUUACUAAUUUGGACACAGCUUUUGUGCCACGCUGGGCAAGCGUCCUUUCCUCUCUGGGCAGACCUCAGUUGUCCCAUCUGUGUGAUGGGGAUGUGAUAAUAACAGACACUGAACACCUUGCAUUUUCUCAACAGCUCUCUGAGGAGGGUGCUAUUGCUGCAGGGCUGGAGAGGUUGAGGAAUUUGCCCAAGGUCAUACAACCCCAACUGUGAAUUGGGGUUUAAACCCAGGUGGUCUUGCUCCACGGUCCCACACUUUUAGCCUCUGCUGCUGCUUCACAUAUUUAAGAACCCUGUCCACCGCUGCCCCUUCUGGGAUUCUGGAACCAAGAGGGACAGACCUGGAGCUGAGCAAAGGGCAGGCAGCCCCUACGCUCCUCUUCAGCCUCCCCUCACUUUUAAGGCUCUGCGUCGCCCUUGGAUGUACCAAGGCAGGGCUCCAUCUUACUCCUGUAUUCCUGAAUGCUGCCCCCUUCGCGGCCCCGCACACUCCUCUAACUUGCUCUUUCUUGCUGUAAGUGGUGGGGAGAGUCCCUGGGCCCGGGGCUCUGUGUGGUUGGGAGGCACGGGGCGGGGGCAAGGAGGGCUCCAGCCACCUCUGCUCUAUUUGUAGGUGCCCCCUACCCGCUCCCACUUCUGAUUCUGACUCAGAUCUCUUUCUUUGUUCCCAAGGACUCUGGGGAGUCCUGGUGCCUUGGCAAAUCCCCUCUUCCGUGUCAUUGCCAACCUCUUCUCCUGACUUACUCUCUCCCAAUGAGCCCAGGUCAGUGAAGGGAGAGGGUGGGGCAAGGGUAAAGCCUGAGUCUCCCCCAAAGCACUUUGCCUCAUUAGCCCAAUCUCCACUGCACCCCCUAUUUUUGAAAACUGGCUCCCGAUCUUCCCAUCCCUCCCACCCAGACCCGGUGACGCAGGACGUGGACCUCAGGCAGGGACCCAUAGGACCAGUGAAGGCCAGCCGCCCCAUCUCCCAGUCCUGUCUACCUCUGAAGUGCCCAGAGGGCUCCCAGAGCGCUGGGAGGCGAGAGGCCUGGGUUCUGUGUCCAGUCCCUUUCCAUGACCUCAGGCAAGCCUCUUCUCUGUGGCCCUCAGCUCUCUCAUCUAUUUGCCGAGGGGCACAGGUUUAGUUCCCUUGAACUGCUGAACUCCGCGGUCUGUGAUCCUGAGACCAUCUCUGUCUCAUCCACAUCCUCCACCCCAUUUCUCCCCACCUUCACUCUGAGCCCUGAGAAAUGGAGAAGCUGAAGACAAAAGGUUAAAUGAGGCUGGGCUCACGCCUGUAAUUCCAGCACUUUGGGAGGCUAAGGUGGGAGGAUCACCUGAGGUCAGGAGUUUGAGACCAGCCUGGCCAACAUGGUGAAACCGCGUCUCUACUAAACAUAAGAAAAUUAGCCGGGCAUGGUGGCAAACAUCUGUAAUCCCUGUUACUUGGGAGGCUGAGGCAGGAGAAUCGCUUGAACCCUGGAGGCAGACGUUGGCAGUGAGCCGAGAUCGCGCCACUGCACUCCAGCUUGGGUGACAGAGCAAGACUCCAUCUCAAAAAAAAAAAAAAAAAUGUUUAAAUGAAUCAGGGCCAGCAAAGGUGCUCCGUGUUCCUCUCUUCUUAAAGAAUAAAGGCACCUACCUGGUGUCCACAGGUGGGCAGACUGUUGCCUUCACUACUGGCUCCUGGGACCAAGACGACUCAGAGUCCAGGUGAAGAGUCAGGAGAGGCGCCAGUUCACCUCCAGACCUGCCUUAAAAGCAGCUUGCCCGCCUUCUCUCCUCCCCUCCGGGCGGGC